GAUGAACGCUGGCGGCGUGCCUAAUACAUGCAAGUCGAGCGAACAGAUGAGGAGCUUGCUCCUCUGACGUUAGCGGCGGACGGGUGAGUAACACGUGGAUAACCUACCUAUAAGACUGGGAUAACUUCGGGAAACCGGAGCUAAUACCGGAUAAUAUAUUGAACCGCAUGGUUCAAUAGUGAAAGACGGUUUUGCUGUCACUUAUAGAUGGAUCCGCGCCGCAUUAGCUAGUUGGUAAGGUAACGGCUUACCAAGGCAACGAUGCGUAGCCGAUCUGAGAGGGUGAUCGGCCACACUGGAACUGAGACACGGUCCAGACUCCUACGGGAGGCAGCAGUAGGGAAUCUUCCGCAAUGGGCGAAAGCUUGACGGAGCAACGCCGCGUGAGUGAUGAAGGUCUUCGGAUCGUAAAACUCUGUUAUUAGGGAAGAACAAAUGUGUAAGUAACUAUGCACGUCUUGACGGUACCUAAUCAGAAAGCCACGGCUAACUACGU
RNAcentral lists this ribosomal RNA (496 nucleotides) under uncultured bacterium. Its description in RNAcentral is "partial 16S ribosomal RNA". It matches the Rfam family "Bacterial small subunit ribosomal RNA", at positions 28 to 506 of the family's 1533-position model. The record is from RNAcentral.